This is a long non-coding RNA of Cheilinus undulatus (humphead wrasse), 3017 nucleotides long. RefSeq lists it as uncharacterized. The record is from RefSeq and is a predicted model, not a curated record. The transcript is spliced from 4 exons. NCBI's taxonomy places the organism in Eukaryota, Metazoa, Chordata, Actinopteri, Labriformes, Labridae.
AAACCCUGCCCAUAGCUACUGCCUUUAAUCCUCAAACAAUCAUGAUUGGGCCGGUCAUUUUUCAGACCAGGCAAAAACAUGUAAGCUUGAAGCUCUGCAAGAUGGAUCAUGCCUCAAGCCUCUUAAGAAUUGAUUAUAACUAACAAUACAGUCAUUGUAUUUGCAUUCAUGUUGCCUUUUGAAGGGGUCUGUUCUGACUAAAGCACUCUGAUGUUUUAUUUGGAUGUUAAAGUGAGCUUUGGUAGCAGAAGGAGAAAUUAUUUCUCUCCCUUUUUGCACACUGGAAGAGGACAGGACCACAUUGUCCAUACUGAUACAGAAUCAGUGCCUCUCACACAUACAGUAAGUGUGUUGUAGCAUUAGUAAAGGGGAGCACAUUUUCUAAACUCAGAUACUUGAACCUGUAAAAACCCACCCUGUAAAAAUCUAGUCUGCACCAUCAUUUAAAGGCUGAGCUGAGCAGAAAACUCUUAAACCAACCAUUCACUCUGAAGUGUCAGGAAAUAUGCUGAUCUGAUCUAUCUGGUCAGAUGUCAGACAAAAGCAGACAUCGACCGGCAGCUUUGAAAUCAAUCAAGAAUAAAAAUCCCUCUUCUGCAAACUGACCCUGAUCCUGAGAUGUUUUGUCCCGCAGCCACCGGGGUUCCUGACACCAGCUGUGGUUCUGUGGCUGUGACUGUCAAUGUUGUGACUUUUCAAACAUCCUUUUCUGCAUUUUUCCAACUGUGUUUGGGAGUAUUGAUUUGUCUUCAGCUCCAGUUCCAUUCAAAGCGAGUAAUUCUUUUAUUUUUUUGUUGCGUUCAUCUUUAGUUUUAAGGAUGUCAGUCUCUUAUGAAAAUAUUAUUGUGAAAAUGGUUGUGUGAUUACACUUGAGGACACAUCUAUAAGCCUUUUCCAUAACAUAGUCUGUUUAAAAGAUAAGUAAAACAUCUAAACAGAUUCAUGUGCCAAUUAAAAAAUUGACAGUAAAGAGGUGAACAGUUCUAACAGAGUAGAAAGAUGGCCUCAAGAUAUAAGUAAAGAUAUAAGAAACACAAAAAAGUUGUUAAAAGUGGCAAAAAUGGGGGGAAAGUUGGGGAAGCAGUGAUAAUAGGGGUUAAAAAGUAGCACAGACAAGUUAGAUCAUCAGAACUCAAUAAUGGCUUGACAUAUUUUUCAGUGCCAAAAUAAGGUAAUUGUCAGCCAGAAUGCUAGCACCAGUGCUACUGAUCGAACACCCAUGCAUUGAUAUCAAUAAUUCGCAACAGGGGAGGGCCCAUUCUCUGGGUUUUUUAGGGGCCCAACCAAUUCUGUGGGCGGACCUGCCAUCUAUACUUUGCAAAUCUGGUUGAGAAUGCUUAAGAAUCUGUGCAGAAUCAGAAUAGAGUUUAUUUGCCAAGAACAUUUUCACAUACAAGAAAUUUUUUUACUUAGUGUUUUGGUGCAAAACGCUGGGUGAGGGCUGGUGUACUGUUCAUUAGGCUGACAGCAGAGGGGAAGAAACUAUUCUUGUGGCAGGAGGUUUUGUUUCAGAGGGACCUCAGCCCCGCUAGAGUGGUGGGCCUCAAAAAGUCCAUGUCCAGAGGGAGAGGUGUCAGCUGCAAUUUUACCUGUGUGCCUCAGCAUCCUGGAGGCGUGUACAGGUCAUGGAGAGUGAAGAUUGCAGCAGAUCACUCUCUCUGCAGAGCGAAUGAUACGCUGUAGUCUGUUUCUGUCCCUUGCCAUGGCUGCAGAGAACCAGACAGUGAUGCAUGAAGUGAGGAAGUGAAGUGAGACUGGAUGAUGGCUAUGUAGAAGUGCACCAUCAUCAUCUUUGGCAGGUUGAGUUUCUUCAGCUGCCAGAAAUUGUGUCUAAUAGCAAUGUCCAUGACCUCACUUUUAGAGAACUCUGUCCUGUGGUUUAUCACUGCAAAAUUUGAUUACUUUUCUUGAUAGUAUCUGUAAUAAACUUUGUUUAACUAUAUUGACGCGCUUCACAGUUUCCUUUAAUCAAGGGAAAUAUCACCUGGAAGACAUGAUAACAGUGUAGAGGAAUCCUGUCCUGACAUUUGCAGCAACUGUGAAUUUUACCCUUGACACUUCAUAUUAGUAUUUACUCUUGCCUUUUAUUCAUUUUGAUCAGCCGGUACAUCUUUUUUUUUUUUUUUUUUUAAACAUCUAAAAGUGAAUGAAUUUUUGUUCCUUUAAACAUCACCACUACUACUGUUGCAUGUAACUACAUGGUUGUAAAAUGUUCUUUUGCCUGUCUUUUUAUUGACUGCACGUUUCCAAAAGAGAUCGUCUGAUCCAAACCUGCAUCUUCACUGAACUUCUCCUGAGAGAAUCUUCAGGUCAGCAAUGGAGCAGAAGUGUCCCAGCACCACAUCUCCUCAGAAGCACAUGAAGAACAGAUCCAAGUCCACAGAGGAGAUGCAGCAAACAAAAAAGACUUUUUCUUCACAAAAAUCUCUCCCGGGAGGACCAGAGCUGGACAAAGUGAAGGAGUGUCCUGAUGGCUCUGACAUGCCCUCCCCCUCUAAAGAAGAACUGAAGUGACAAAUGACUAAUGAGAUCAUCAAUUUUGUUCAUCAUCAGAGACAUCCCCAAGCAUAGAAAUAUACAUGCACACAAUAUAGCAGCCCUUAAAGGACAUGCACCCAAACAUUGAAUUUUACUCUGUUUUGUCCCUGAUGGAGGGGUUUCAGUUGUUUUCUCAAGAUCCUGAGAAAUGAACUCCUAAAGGGAAGCAUUAUGCAGCAUUUUUAUCUUAAGACAACAACAUAAAUAAGUUCUGAUCUUGAGAAAACAAAUGGAAAUGACUUGUAAUUGUGGGAAAACAGUGUACAUUAAAUGUAUGAAGCUAUGCCUUUGUAGGGCUUCUGUUAAAGGAAACAUACAAACAAUAACAAUGAUAAUAAACUAGAUCGUAAAAACAGAGAACUGGAUUUAGGAUGAAGGGAACUGUGAGCAUGCUCACAUUUGUUGUACUGGGAGUACUGUAUACAUAUCAAACUAAAUGUGUAUUGACAAUAAAGUGAAUCUGUCUUAACCAUGCUCUC